This 494-nucleotide ribosomal RNA is filed under the name uncultured bacterium. RNAcentral describes it as "partial 16S ribosomal RNA". It matches the Rfam family "Bacterial small subunit ribosomal RNA", at positions 28 to 507 of the family's 1533-position model. The record is from RNAcentral.
GACGAACGCUGGCGGCGUGCUUAGCACAUGCAAGUCGAACGGUUAAGCGCCUUCCUUUUUGGUGGGUGUGGAUGAGUGGCGAACGGGUGAAUAACACGUGAGUAACCUGCCCCCUUCUUCUGGAUAACCGCAUGAAAGUGUGGCUAAUACGGGAUAUUCUGGUUCUGUCGCAUGAUGGGUCUGGGAAAGAUAUUGUUUCGGUGGGGGAUGGGCUCGCGGCCUAUCAGCUUGUUGGCGGGGUGAUGGCCUACCAAGGCGGUGACGGGUAGCCGGCCUGAGAGGGUGGACGGUCACACGGGGACUGAGACACGGCCCAGACUCCUACGGGGGGCAGCGGUGGGGAAUAUUGCACAAUGGGCGCAAGCCUGAUGCAGCGUCGCCGCGUGAGGGAUGGAGGCCUUCGGGUUGUGAACCUCUUUCGCCAGUGAAGCAGGCCUGCCUCGUUUGUGGGUGGGUUGACGGUAGCUGGAUAAGAAGCGCCGGCUAACUACGUG